This 405-nucleotide ribosomal RNA is filed under the name uncultured bacterium. RNAcentral's name for it is "partial 16S ribosomal RNA". It matches the Rfam family "Bacterial small subunit ribosomal RNA", at positions 29 to 526 of the family's 1533-position model. The record is from RNAcentral.
AUUGAACGCUGGCGGCAGGCCUAACACAUGCAAGUCGAACGAGUGGCGGACGGGUGAGUAAUGUCUGGGAAACUGCCUGAUGGAGGGGGAUAACUACUGGAAACGGUAGCUAUACCGCAUACCAUCGGGUGUGCCCAGAUGGGAUUAGCUAGUAGGUGGGGUAAAGGCUCACCUAGGCGACGAUCCCUAACUGGGCAGAGAAGAUAACCAGCCACACUGGGACGGGGACACGUUCCAGACACCUACGGGAGGAAGCGAUAGAGAAUGUUGAACAGUGGGGGCAAGCCUGAUGCUACGAAGCCACGUGUAUAAAGAAGGCCUACGGGUUGUAAAGUACUUUCAGCGAGGAGACGUUACCCGCAGAAGAAGCACCGGCUAACGCCGUGCCAGCAGCCUCGGUAGAUC